UACGGAGGGUGCGAGCGUUGUUCGGAAUCACUGGGCGUAAAGCGCGUGUAGGCUGGUGAUCAAGUCCGAUGUGAAAUCCCUUGGCUUAACCAAGGAACUGCAUUGGAAACUGGUCGCCUUGAGUACGGGAGAGGGAAGUGGAAUUCCUAAUGUAGAGGUGAAAUUCGUAGAUAUUAGGAGGAACACCGGUGGCGAAGGCGGCUUCCUGGACCGAUACUGACGCUGAGACGCGAAAGCGUGGGGAG
Molecule: ribosomal RNA, 245 nt
Filed under: uncultured bacterium
Lineage: Bacteria
Description: partial 16S ribosomal RNA
Rfam family: Bacterial small subunit ribosomal RNA
Source: RNAcentral